Molecule: ribosomal RNA, 450 nt
Filed under: uncultured bacterium
Lineage: Bacteria
Description: partial 16S ribosomal RNA
Rfam family: Bacterial small subunit ribosomal RNA
Source: RNAcentral
GUGGGGAAUAUUGGACAAUGGGCGAAAGCCUGAUCCAGCCAUGCCGCGUGUGUGAAGAAGGUCUUCGGAUUGUAAAGCACUUUAAGUUGGGAGGAAGGGCAGUAAGUUAAUACCUUGCUGUUUUGACGUUACUAACAGAAUAAGCACCGGCUAACUUCGUGCCAGCAGCCGCGGUAAUACGAAGGGUGCAAGCGUUAAUCGGAAUUACUGGGCGUAAAGCGCGCGUAGGUGGUUCAGCAAGUUGAAGGUGAAAUCCCCGGGCUCAACCUGGGAACUGCCUCCAAAACUACUGAGCUAGAGUACGGUAGAGGGUAGUGGAAUUUCCUGUGUAGCGGUGAAAUGCGUAGAUAUAGGAAGGAACACCAGUGGCGAAGGCGACUACCUGGACUGAUACUGACACUGAGGUGCGAAAGCGUGGGGAGCAAACAGGAUUAGAUACCCGGGUAGUCC